This 573-nucleotide ribosomal RNA is filed under the name Aspergillus niger. Its description in RNAcentral is "eukaryotic LSU rRNA". The stretch from base 203 to 356 matches the Rfam family "5.8S ribosomal RNA". The record is from RNAcentral. Lineage: Eukaryota; Fungi; Ascomycota; Eurotiomycetes; Eurotiales; Aspergillaceae.
UGCGGAAGGAUCAUUACCGAGUGCGGGUCCUUUGGGCCCAACCUCCCAUCCGUGUCUAUUGUACCCUGUUGCUUCGGCGGGCCCGCCGCUUGUCGGCCGCCGGGGGGGCGCCUCUGCCCCCCGGGCCCGUGCCCGCCGGAGACCCCAACACGAACACUGUCUGAAAGCGUGCAGUCUGAGUUGAUUGAAUGCAAUCAGUUAAAACUUUCAACAAUGGAUCUCUUGGUUCCGGCAUCGAUGAAGAACGCAGCGAAAUGCGAUAACUAAUGUGAAUUGCAGAAUUCAGUGAAUCAUCGAGUCUUUGAACGCACAUUGCGCCCCCUGGUAUUCCGGGGGGCAUGCCUGUCCGAGCGUCAUUGCUGCCCUCAAGCCCGGCUUGUGUGUUGGGUCGCCGUCCCCCUCUCCGGGGGGACGGGCCCGAAAGGCAGCGGCGGCACCGCGUCCGAUCCUCGAGCGUAUGGGGCUUUGUCACAUGCUCUGUAGGAUUGGCCGGCGCCUGCCGACGUUUUCCAACCAUUCUUUCCAGGUUGACCUCGGAUCAGGUAGGGAUACCCGCUGAACUUAAGCAUAUCA